GAUGAACGCUAGCUACAGGCUUAACACAUGCAAGUCGCGGGGCAGCAUGGGGGUUGCUUGCAAUCCCCGAUGGCGACCGGCGCACGGGUGAGUAACGCGUAUCCAACCUGCCCUUCACCACGGGAUAACCCGGCGAAAGUCGGACUAAUACCGUAUGUUGUCCAUUGACGGCAUCCGAUUUGGACGAAAGGUUUGGCGGUGAAGGAUGGGGAUGCGUCCGAUUAGCUGGACGGCGGGGUGACGGCCCACCGUGGCGACGAUCGGUAGGGGUUCUGAGAGGAAGGUCCCCCACACUGGAACUGAGACACGGUCCAGACUCCUACGGGAGGCAGCAGUGAGGAAUAUUGGUCAAUGGGCGUAAGCCUGAACCAGCCAAGUAGCGUUCAGGAUGACGGCCCUAUGGGUUGUAAACUGCUUUUAUGCGGGGAUAAAGUGGCCCACGUGUGGGUUUUUGCAGGUACCGCAUGAAUAAGGACCGGCUAAUUCCGUG
This 490-nucleotide ribosomal RNA is filed under the name uncultured bacterium. RNAcentral's name for it is "partial 16S ribosomal RNA". It matches the Rfam family "Bacterial small subunit ribosomal RNA", at positions 28 to 507 of the family's 1533-position model. The record is from RNAcentral.